CCUACGGGUGGCAGCAGUGAGGAAUAUUGGUCAAUGGACGAGAGUCUGAACCAGCCAAGUAGCGUGAAGGAUGACUGCCCUAUGGGUUGUAAACUUCUUUUAUAUGGGAAUAAAAUGUUUCACGUGAGGGAUUUUGUAUGUACCAUAUGAAUAAGGAUCGGCUAACUCCGUGCCAGCAGCCGCGGUAAUACGGAGGAUCCGAGCGUUAUCCGGAUUUAUUGGGUUUAAAGGGAGCGUAGGUGGAUUGUUAAGUCAGUUGUGAAAGUUUGCGGCUCAACCGUAAAAUUGCAGUUGAAACUGGCAGUCUUGAGUACAGUAGAGGAGGGCGGAAUUCGUGGUGUAGCGGUGAAAUGCUUAGAUAUCACGAAGAACUCCGAUUGCGAAGGCAGUUCACUGGACUGCAACUGACACUGAGGCUCGAAAGUGUGGGUAUCAAACAGGAUUAGAUACCCCAGUAGUC
This 460-nucleotide ribosomal RNA is filed under the name uncultured bacterium. RNAcentral describes it as "partial 16S ribosomal RNA". It matches the Rfam family "Bacterial small subunit ribosomal RNA", at positions 338 to 795 of the family's 1533-position model. The record is from RNAcentral.